Molecule: unclassified non-coding RNA, 345 nt
Filed under: soil metagenome
Description: partial contains 5.8S ribosomal RNA, internal transcribed spacer 2, and large subunit ribosomal RNA
Rfam family: 5.8S ribosomal RNA (bases 1-120)
Source: RNAcentral
GAUGAAGAACGUAGCGAAAUGCGAUACGUAAUGUGAAUUGCAGAAUUCAGUGAAUCAUCGAGUCUUUGAACGCACAUUGCGCCCCCUGGUAUUCCGGGGGGCAUGCCUGUCCGAGCGUCAUUGCUGCCCUCAAGCCCGGCUUGUGUGUUGGGUCUCGUCCCCCUUCCCGGGGGGACGGGCCCGAAAGGCAGCGGCGGCACCGUGUCCGGUCCUCGAGCGUAUGGGGCUUGUCACCCGCUCUGUAGGCCCGGCCGGCGCUUGCCGAUCAACCAAAACUUUUUUCCAGGUUGACCUCGGAUCAGGUAGGGAUACCCGCUGAACUUAAGCAUAUCAAUAAGCGGAGGA